CUCCCAGAAGAAAUACAAUGUGAAGACACACAGGGAGAAGAUGGCCUUGUGACCAGGGAGAUGCAUCUACAGACCAACAAAUGCCAAGGAUUGCCAGAGAACAGAAAAAGCUGGAAGAAUCAAGGAAGGAUUCUCCCCUGGAGCCAUCAGAGAGAGCAUGCCCUGAUAUCACCUUGAUUCUUCACUUCUACCUUUCAGAAUUAAGGAAGCCAGCUGCCAUGCUUUGAGCUGCUCUAUGGAAAGGCACAUUUGGCAAGGAACUGAUGCCUCCAGUCAACAGCCAGCCAGGACUUGAGACCAGUGCAGGUGGCAUAAUGACCAGCGGUGACUUGAAUGACAAGGGGACAGAACAGCUGGACAAUCCAAUUCCUAGAUGCUUUCUCCAGUUAUGGCCCUGACUGGGAUCUCCGAAGAAUGACUCAGCUGAAACUGUCAGUGAGGAUGCUUACCUGUGGUCUCCCCAUCAUGGUGGUAUCAGGGUUGUUGAACACCUUACAUGGCUCCAAAAGCAAGUGUUCUGGAAUGUAAGGCAACAGCUGUGUGGUCUUUCAUAAUCCAGCAUCAGAAGUCACAUGGCAUCACUCCUGCUAAAAUUUCUUUGUGGAAGCAGCCACAAAACUGCCCAAAUUCAAGUAGAGGGCACACAGAUCUUAUUUUUUGAUGGGAGGACUCACAAAAAUUUUGCCACCAUAUUAUAAAAACACUAUAAGAUCUAAUAGUAACUUUAACUUUUUUUAACCAAUCCUUCUAUUUUCAGCCCAGACUUCACUUCCUUAUUCAGAUGUAUAAAUGUCUUCUGUGGCUUUGUGAUCAAAUCUGAAUGUUUCUUGGAUUUACCCCUGCCAGCUAAGGAUUUGGCCUUCUUUGAUCUGUUAAAUCAGUUCUCAAACACUGACUUGUUUUCCAUCUAAAAUAUCAGGGUGACCUUUAUCCCAUUCUCAUUGCUUUGAGGAUUUUGUGCCCCCUUUUUUAAAGUCACUUUCUAUGUAUUUUUAUAUGAGUGAGGUUUUGGGAGAAAGUACAGAUAAAUAUAUAUUCUCAAUCUACCACUUUAAUUGAAAAUUCUUGUUUUUUCUUUUACAAAAUUCCUAAUGUUUGCCUAACAAACAUUUAUUGAGAAACUGCUGUAUUUUCAGUAUGUGUUAAGGUCUGUGUACAUCUAUUUUAUAUACAUUAUCUUAUUUAAUAUGCUCAUUUAAUUUCCACAUCUUGUUUAACAUUUAUAAUCUUUUGAUUUGUUAAAUACAAUUUGUAGAAGACCAUUGGUUUAGCGUGAGCUGCACCAGGCCUGGCAGACCAAACCAAAAUGUAGUAUCUCAUACUAAAGUUCCAUGCCACCAAGCUGAAACUAAGUUGUUUAUCUGACUUUCCAAGAAGUCAGGAGAAAGAGAUAACAGUCAAAUCCCCAAAUAUGCUAGUUUGAGUUGGCAUGAUAGGAAAGUUCCUUCCACUUUAGCCUUUAUACGAAAGUAACUUUGGAAUGAUCAGUCUGCUUUUUGUUUCCUGUUUCUGUUUCAGCACUUUUUGUAAAGCCAACUUCUUCUCAGCACAUCAGAACACUCAUUCUACUUUAUAGAAUGAGGUAUAAUCUGAAUCUAAAAUCACAAAUAAAAGCCAAUUAAGAUUUUUAAAGUAAGUUUGUUGUAAUUUUGUCUUUUGACAGAUUUCAUCAUUGCCUACAUUUGUCUUCAGACGACCUGCAGUACAAACUUGGCUUAAACCUGCAGUUGACAAUGGUAACAGGAAUCUUAUUUUAAAAAAUAAUAUGCGCCACCAGCUAAGUUGGUCAUGAUGAGGUCUGGGCCUUGAUAGCCUUCUGGGUUUUAAUUCACACAAUAUGUUUGAAAAAAGAAAAAUCAAAGUAACUGUAAUUUUUUUGUAAAGCAAAAUACUUUUUAAAAGCCAUGAGGCACGUGUUACUCAAAGGGCUCCUUGGAUGAAUUAUUUUGUAAGGCAAAUGAUUUGUUAUAGUUCCAAUGACAUCUAAAUUUGCCAGUUGUAAAUACUGGAAUUUUUGGUCCUUGCAUUGAACUUACUGGUAUUGAUGUGCUAUAUAACUAAAUGUCUUCUAAAAGGAUUCACCGUGGGAGAAUAAAUUACAAUGGAUAAAAAACAGCAUUACAAUCCCUCAAUAAAAUGGGAUUUUAACAGACAAAGGUGAGUCAGUGGUGAAAGGCAGGAGAAGAUACAACAGGUAAGUGUCUGACUUCAGGCUGGAGCCCUAAUAUAAUAAUAAGUCCUUCUUGUAUUGUAAUCUCUUACAGCUGAAUCUCCAUGUGCUCUCUCUCUCUUCUAACAUCAAUGCAGCUCCUGGUAUGUGGUCGUUCUCAGGCCCAAAGGCCCAUUUUGCUUUUGGCUGCAACUCUGUAACUCUGUAACAGAGACCAAGUGCCUGCAGGGAGCAGAUGUUUGGGGCAGUAUCUGCUAAGGUGGCUUUGCUGAAACUUGUUUCUCUCAUUGGGUCUUGGAAGUGGCGAAUAGGACGUUCCUAUAGAAAAACUCAGAAAGAUAAUGAAGCUGCUAUUUGCAAGAACUGCAUCUGUCUGACUCUCAGACAGAUCUACACCAGUGUUUAGCAGACAUGCCAAAUGAUAAGAGUCAAUCACAGCCUCUGUAGAAAAUACUGGAACCCUGAUGUGGACUUACUGAAUCAGAAUCUCCAGGCAAUAAGCUUGAGAUUCUCUGGUUUGUAAAGCCAACCAAGUGAU
RNAcentral lists this long non-coding RNA (2708 nucleotides) under Homo sapiens (human). RNAcentral describes it as "HSALNT0319381". The record is from RNAcentral. Lineage: Eukaryota; Metazoa; Chordata; Mammalia; Primates; Hominidae.